CCCUUUUUCAGUUUUAUAGAUAAAAAGACAAAGUUAAUGUGCCUUGUAAAUCUUACCCCUCUCAGCAUCUUUAAGUUUAACCCCAUCUGUUUUACUGCAAUCUAGUA
Non-coding RNA from Ceratotherium simum simum (southern white rhinoceros), 107 nucleotides. Lineage: Eukaryota; Metazoa; Chordata; Mammalia; Perissodactyla; Rhinocerotidae. The record is from RefSeq and is a predicted model, not a curated record.